UGGGGAAUCUUGCGCAAUGGGCGAAAGCCUGACGCAGCCAUGCCGCGUGAAUGAUGAAGGUCUUAGGAUUGUAAAAUUCUUUCAGCGGGGACGAUAAUGACGGUACCCGCAGAAGAAGCCCCCGGCUAACUUCGUGCCAGCAGCCGCGGUAAUACGAAGGGGGCUAGCGUUGCUCGGAUUUACUGGGCGUAAAGGGCGCGUAGGCGGAUUGACAAGUUGGGGGUGAAAGCCCGGGGCUCAACUCGGAAUUGCCUUCAAAACUGUCAGUCUUGAGUUCGGGAGAGGUGAGUGGAACUCCGAGUGUAGAGGUGAAAUUCGUAGAUAUUCGGAAGAACACCAGUGGCGAAGGCGACUCACUGGCCCGAUACUGACGCUGAGGCGCGAAAGCGUGGGGAGCAAAACAGGAUUACGUACCCUGGUAGUCCACGCUGUAAAACGAUGAGUGCUAGUUGUCGGCAGGCAUGCCUGUCGGUGACGCAGCUAACGCAUUAAGCACUCCGCCUGGGGGAGUAC
RNAcentral lists this ribosomal RNA (513 nucleotides) under uncultured bacterium. Its description in RNAcentral is "partial 16S ribosomal RNA". It matches the Rfam family "Bacterial small subunit ribosomal RNA", at positions 355 to 883 of the family's 1533-position model. The record is from RNAcentral.